RNAcentral lists this unclassified non-coding RNA (909 nucleotides) under Hevea brasiliensis (rubber tree). Lineage: Eukaryota; Viridiplantae; Streptophyta; Magnoliopsida; Malpighiales; Euphorbiaceae. The record is from RNAcentral.
AAGAAUUUCCUAUUAUCAAAAAGAGAGACAUUGCCAACAACUUUGGCAUCAUUCCAAUCGUUGACAAGUCUGUAGAUGCUGCUUGGCCUACUCCAAUGCAGAAGCACGGAUACAACAUCUCUAAAGGUAUGCAAUUUAUUAAUAUGCAUAUAUUACAUAAAAUCAAAACUUAUGCAUAUAAGAUACUUCAUGGCAUAAAGCUUAUUUGGAGGACAUUUUGUAACACUUUCAGAAUUGUUACAAUUUUAAAAUAGUUUCUUCGGUACUUGAGGACUAAUGCAUUCUGCAAUCAGCUGCCUUCUACGAAUAACAACAUUACAUUCCAUUUCCAAUGUUGCAGAUCAUUUUCCUGCAGGCGAUGGUUGUAAGUCCGAUGGAAAUAACAGUCCAAUUAUUAGUGGGGUUCUGGCCUUUGUGAUGGGAAUUGUCACCAUGGUUCGCAUGACGCGCAACAUGCCAAGAAAGCUUACUGAAGCUGCUAUUUAUGGCUAUGAUGAUACAAUGAUGAAAAGCCACGCAUUGCCAGCGCCCUCCAUCUCUACCACAGAAUACAAGAACAUGAUGAUGAGCAUGGCUGAAAUGGAAAAGAAGUUGAAUGUUCUUGCCUCAAGAGCUGCUACUAUGCCACCUGAGAAAGAGGAAAUGCUGAAUGCUACUUUAAGGCGCGUUGAUUUCCUUGAGCAAGAGCUGUUAGCAACCAAGAAGGUUUUCUCCAAUUCUCUCCUCCACAUACAGGAAAAGGAAGAAAAGUAGUUUAGAAAAUAACUAGUUUGUAAGAGCAGUAAGAGCCAGAAAUAUUUGAGAUAAUUUUCUGUAUUUUAUAUGUCUUAUUUGUGCAGGCACUUGAGGAUGCAGCUACUAAACAGCAGGAACUCCUGGAGUACAUUGAAAAGAAAAAGAAGAAGAAGA